Small nuclear RNA from Prolemur simus (greater bamboo lemur), 112 nucleotides. The record is from Ensembl. Lineage: Eukaryota; Metazoa; Chordata; Mammalia; Primates; Lemuridae.
GUGCUGCCCUCGCCUUGGCAGCACCUGUACCCAAAUUGGAACGACACAGAGAAGAUUAGCACGGCCCUGGCGCAAGGAUGACAUGCAAAUUCGUGAAGCGUCCCGUAUUUUU